RNAcentral lists this ribosomal RNA (439 nucleotides) under uncultured bacterium. Its description in RNAcentral is "partial 16S ribosomal RNA". It matches the Rfam family "Bacterial small subunit ribosomal RNA", at positions 339 to 795 of the family's 1533-position model. The record is from RNAcentral.
CGGGGGGCUGCAGCAGUGGGGAAUAUUGCACAAUGGAGGAAACUCUGAUACAGCAACGCCGCGUGGAGGAUGACACUUUUCGGAGCGUAAACUCCUUUUAUAUAGGAAGAAGAUGACGGUACUAUAUGAAUAAGCGCCGGCUAACUCCGUGCCAGCAGCCGCGGUAAUACGGAGGGCGCAGGCGUUACUCGGAAUCACUGGGCGUAAAGAGCGUGUAGGCGGAUUAAAAAGUCAGAAGUGAAAUCCUAUAGCUUAACUAUAGAACUGCUUCUGAAACUCUUAAUCUAGAAUAUGGGAGAGGUAGAUGGAAUUUCUGGUGUAGGGGUAAAAUCCGUAGAGAUCAGAAGGAAUACCGAUUGCGAAGGCGAUCUACUAGAACAUUAUUGACGCUGAGACGCGAAAGCGUGGGGAGCAAACAGGAUUAGAUACCCUGGUAGUC